This is a long non-coding RNA of Callithrix jacchus (white-tufted-ear marmoset), 4413 nucleotides long. RefSeq lists it as uncharacterized. The record is from RefSeq and is a predicted model, not a curated record. NCBI's taxonomy places the organism in Eukaryota, Metazoa, Chordata, Mammalia, Primates, Cebidae.
ACAGUACUUCAUAUCAGGGUAGGAAUUUCACUUUAUUCUGAACGUGUUAGUUUUGACCCUCUUCACCCUGAAAUUUUCACUAUCAAAUAUUUUGGAAGGCAGGUCUUUUUUCCUCAUUUAACAUUUAUUUAAUACACAGAGAAUAAUACUGAGGGUCUGGGAUUCCAGUUUUGAAAUGAAACAUGGACUCUGAGUGACCCUUGUCCUUGUCAAAGUGCACUGGUCUAGAUAGCGGCAUUUGGACCCCAUAGUGUGGCACCUGUUUCUGUGUACAUUUGCAUAUUCUGAUGACCUGUUGCUGAGGUCACGUGAUGAUGUAUAGCCUGUCUUCAUCCCAACUGACAAUGUGUUUCAACUGUCACCUAGACUACUAGUCAAGAUGGGAGGCCUCUGUUCCUGCCUUGGAGAAUGUUGCCUCAAAAGGCAGAAGAGGUUUCUCCAAGAUUUCAGCAAAAAUGGCCAAAGGAAAAAUAUGCCCCCUGACCAUUUCAUCAUCCUAGCAUCACCAGUUUGCCACCUGAAGGUACUGUGGAAACUCAGUUACUCACUCAUGCAAGCAUAAGGAUUCCAGAUUCUUCAGUGUCCCACACUGCAGACAACUCUACAACUGCUGCACUUUAUUCCUCUUUAUUUCAGGUGUUCAAAUUGAAAUGUAUCAAGUCAAUCACUAGUGCUACAAAUGCAGAAGUGAAGAUGUAUUUCCACUUCCAGCUUGGUUCGCUUUUAAUAGUAAAGAACAUCUCAAUGCAAGGUUUAGAUAUUUAGCUGAUUGUUAGACAGUAGCUAAAAUGGAACUCUUCCUGAGAUAGUGUGGCCCCAUUUUCAAACAAAUGGACAUCAUGUGAAACUUGUAAAUGAACAUAAAAAUUGAAGUACUACAGAAAAUUCCCAGACACCCUCCCCACUCAGUACCCUUUCUGUGAUCACAGCUUACACGAAUGUGGUGCAUUUGUUACAGUGGCUGAACCGAUAGUGAUAUCUUCUUAUUAGUGAAAGUCUGGAGUUCACAUUAAGGCUCACCCUGUGUUGUGCAGCCUGUGCAUUUUGACAAACUCAUGUCAUUCAUCACCCAGACAGAAGAGUUUUGCACCCAAAACAUGACCUGUGCUGCACCUCUUAAUCCCUUUCCUCUAUUCUCAGGACCCCUGACUGCUAUAGAUCAUUUAUUUUACUGCCUGUAUACAUUUUUCCCCAAAUUUUAUAGCAUUGGAAUCAUAAAGCAUGCAGCCACUUAGGACUAACUGAUUUCACUUCACAAUAUACAUGCAAGAUUUUUCAUGUCUUUUAGUAGCUUAAUGGCUUACUCAUUUUUACCAGUGGGUCACAUUCCCUUGGGUCCAUGUAAUGGUGUGGGUUGGUGCACGCACCUCCUGAAGAGCAUCUCAGCUGCUUCCAGUUCAGGUGACUAUGAAUACACGUGCCCUCAUUCUUGUGUGGAUUUUGUAAUGGGCAUAAUUUUAAAAUUUAAUGGGGUAAAUGUUUACAAUUUUAAUCGGUUGUUUAUAUAAUAAGACUAUGUUUUCCUUUGUAAGAAUUAGGUAGAAUUCAGUAAAGUCACAUGGGUAUUUUUUUAAAGUUUUUAUUGAUUCAACUUCUAUAUUAUAAUAGAUGUAAGCCUACUCAGAUUAUCAGAGUCUUCUUUGGGUAGUUAUGAUAUAGUUUCUGCCCUUCUGUCAUUUUCAUCUAGGCUGUCAAAUCUGUGAGCGUAGAUUUGUUCUAAGUAUUCUUUAUUAUCUGCUUGAUAUUAAUGGGAUCAGCAGGAAUCAUUCCUCUUUUUAUUUAUAUUUUUUGCAAAUUGUGUCUUCUAGCUUUCCUUGUGGUGAGCCUGGCUGGAAGAUUAUCAGUUCUAUUUAUUUUUCCUAUGAAGCAGCUCUUGGUUCUGUUUCGUUCUGUUUAUUAUUUCUAUUAUAAUGAUUUCUGCAAUUUUUUAAUUCUAUUUUUAUUUCUAUAGUUUUUUGUCUCUAGUUUCCUAAGGUGGAAGGUAAGAAAACUGAAUUAAGAUUGUUUUUAGUUUUUUUUUUUUUUCUUUUCUUGUUUCUUGUAUCUUUUUCUCUUUAAGACUGAGUCUUGCUGUCUCCAAGGUUGGAGUGCAGUGGCAUGAUCUCAGCUCAAUGCAAUGUCUGCCUCCCAAGUUCAAGUGAUUCUCCUGUCUCAUCCUCCCGAGAAGCUGGGAUUACAGGUGACUGCAACAUGGCCUGGCUAAUUUUUGUACUUUUAGUAGAGAUGGGUUUUCACCAUGUUGGUCAGGGUUGUCUUAAACUCCUGAUCUCAGGUGAUUCACCCACCUUGGCCUCCCAAAGGGCUGGGAAAACAGACAUGAGCCACCGUGCCCAGCCUGUUGUUAGUUUUCUACACAGCAUUGUGAACUAAUGCCACUAAAGUGUGCAUUUAACAAUUAAUAUAUAUUCUGUAUUUUUCACCACAAUGAUUUAGAUGAUAAGUGCAAAAGGAGCAUAUAUAGAUUCAGGAACGUUAAACAUUGUAACUUUUUUUCUAAAGAAGAUACUUACCAGACCAGGCCUCUUUCUGUGAGGAGACCAUGUCCUGGAGUCAUGCUGUGCACUUGUGUGCUGCCUAUGUGAACACUGCCUACUUCACAGUGAUGAGGGUGGCUUAACCAGAGACCCCAGGCUCUGUCCCCCAGCACUCUCCUGAUGGUGUACUUUGCCUUCCUUCACCACCAAGGAGGGUGGCCCAGCAGCAGCUCAGCCCCUGCUCCUACCCCACCUCCUCUGCACAUGCCAGCCCUGUGUCCUCAGCACCCAGGGCUGCCAGCGGGCCUUCAGCAGCUCCCAUGGCUGACAGUGACUCUAUGCUUCCUAGAAUACCCAGUACACUGGAAGAAGUUCAGUCCUCAAAAUUGCUAGCAACGUAUCAAGUCUUGUCACUCCGUAAGUCUUCUUUCUUUGUCUGAGAUGGGAAUUUUUUUCUUUUGUUUUUUUUAUUUUGAAUUAAGAUAUACAAAUUCUACCAUGAACAUUAUAGAUGAGUCACAGAAUUUCCUGGUGGACAAAGGUAUGUGAGUGUCCAUUACCAAAUUGGAACUUGUUCCAGAUGGCACUCAGAGAGGACAGCUUCACUGAGGACAAACUGGAUGGCAGAGAGCAAUUUUUUCAGGAGAAAUGCAUUCUUCUGGAAUAUAGCUGUGACUUUGCAACAAAAUCAUUUUGCAAAUCUUAUGCAAAACUCUGUGCCUUUCCACAAGUGUCCAUUAGGCUUUAUUUGGGGGGCCAUUACCUUGAGAACUAUUUCCCAACUGGUUUUCUAAUGUCACCAAGUGAAGAAAAGACCCAUAACACACGGGACACAGCAUGGUCUGAGGCUCACAGUGUUUUCCUGUCUCUGCACACAGAAUCAGCUAUUCAGGAGUAUGGUACAUACUAUAGCAUCACCCCUUUGCUAAGGAAAAAUUUUAGCAUUGAGAAAGGUAACACUUUCCUCCCUGCUUUUGCUGGAAAGCCACAACAAUAUAAGCUUCCUGCAGAAAAUGAAGUUUGGGCGGUUUGGUGUAAAAAAAAAAAAAUUUAGUCAACAACUGUGGCCAUCCACUCUAGUUCUCAGAAGCCGUGAUGUCGUUAAAAUAGGAACAGGGGUGCAUCAGGGUGGGGAGGCAUGGAGGAGAGAGUCUGUGUGGAAUGAUGGUGAAUGUCUUUGGGAGUGUGUGUGCCUUUCUCUAGAAAGCGUGUUCCCCUGUGCAAAGCACAACCCAAGGUUUGGUGUUCUAGAAACCAAAUUCCAUCCCCACUGCACACUUCAUAUCAGUCAACACUUUCAUCCUUCACCACAGCUGUACCGGAAGAGUAGUUUAAUAUCCUCAGUCCUCAGAUUGGAGAGAGUGGAAAGAUGAAUUUCCCAAGCUCUUCAUUUCCUGAAUGGAAAAGGCAAAUGUGAACUGAGGAGUGGGUGGAAAGAUGACAUGAUGGGCUGCUACUCUGCAGUCUUAAAAGGUAGCUAUUCUGCUACCUUAAAAAUGGUGAGUGAAUAAAUAGAAUAUUUUGGUUAGAAUUCAUUCUUCUCUCUAAAGAAAAGUUGCUGGCCAGGAGCUGCACCUCACACCUGUAAUCCCAGCACUUUGGGAGGCCGAGGCAGGCAGAUCACGAGGUCAAGAGAUCGAGACCAUCCUGGCCAACAUGGUGAAGCCCUGUCUCUACUAAAAAAUACAAAAAUUAGCUGGGCAUGGUGGCACACACCUAUAGUCCCAGGCACUCAGGGCUGCCAGAGGGCCUUCAGCAGCUCCCAUGGCUGACAGUGACUCUAUGUUUCCUAGAUUUCAACAUUAACCUGUCAGGAACGGUGUCCAGUGAGAUGCCCCCAGAAGCUGCUGUAUCUCUUCAUAGGGCCUCGCCUUCAGUUCCAGCGGCCACUCUACUAACUGCCAUUUCACACUGUACUGGCCAGGAGACUACUGGUGAA